GAAGAAACCUCCUCCUUUUUCCCCUGAUUUUUGCAGAGGGAGACUCUGAAUGUAGCCUCAAUAACAAACACAUAUAGAAUUCAGAGACAGAAGGAGAAAGACUCAUUUGACCUCCAAAUGCACAUGGCUUCUUGGGCUUCUCUUCUCCCCACAUUAUUUUUGUUUUUCCUUUCCCUCACAUGCUCUCCUCUCUCUCAGUGGUUAACCAUUUUCUUUUUAAAAUAUCAUUGAUAAACUAUUGACUCAGCAGUUGAGCAGAUUCCUCAGAUCUACGGUGAACAACUUUCUGCUUAUUCUCCUACCAAACCUCCCAUUUCUUUUCUACUCCAAGGGUGUGAUUAAAGUGGAGCUUGUCCAGGAUUAUCUGUUAUAAUAUUAGUGAAGGGUUUAAAAAUUGUUGCAUUGGAAUUGGUUCAGAUGCAUAGACUGCUGCAUGUCGCAUGGUUCUUGUCUAUUUUAUAGAUGGAUAAAGUGGAUUUAAGUGAGUCAAAGUUCAAUAAGAUGGAGAACAAUCAAAUUGAUCAAAUUGAAGACAUGGACACUGAAGUUGUUCCUUCAAUGUGGCCUGAAGAUAUUGAUAGUGAAAAGCCAUACAAUGUAGAAAAACCAGGAGGGGAUCAAGAUAUGUUGGAGGAAGUUACUAUAGUUGAGGAGCCAAGUAUAAUUGAUUUCCGCCGUCUUAUAGAGCUAACCAGUUACACUGACAAGGGCUCUUCUCAGCUAGCAUACCUUGUAAAACAAUGGGAAUAUCAGCAGGUAACCGCUGUCCGCCUUCUCAGAGAAGAGCUUGACAUUCUAAGCCAGCAAAGGCAGGAAGUUGAGCUAAAAAAAUUGGAGAUAUUGGAAAAAUUUCGGUUUGAGGAAGAAGGAUAUGGUGGUGAUAAACGUCCAAUAUCUAUAUUGGAUGAAGUUAUUGAUAUAUAUCAAGAUCUUCCCCGAAGAAAAAAAGAUUUCAUUACUCCAAACAAGAAAGUAGAAAUAGAUGCAGAAUAUGACACUGUUGCAUACUGGAAGCAGCGAGCCAUGCAUUUGGAGAAAUUGUUGGAAGCCAGCAUCCAGAGGGAGCAAUCACUCAUUGAGAAGUUACAGGAAAGUGUAAAAAAUUUGGAAAGGCAGUCUUCCCCAGUAGAAGAAUUAUCCCAGAUUCUGAAAAGAGCAGACAAUUUCUUACAUUUUAUACUUCAAAAUGCUCCUGUUGUCAUGGGUCAUCAGGUAAUCAUGACUCAAGUGGUGUAAAUUCUGUUACUGCUGCCUUAAAAAGAUGUUUCAUAGUGACAUUUUGCUUUUGGCAUUGGAGCUUUUCACAUGCAUAUGGCUGCUUGAGUUUUAAGACCUCCUGUUUUGCUGUAGUGGUAUAAUACAGUGUUUCAACUUGCAGCUGAAUUAUUGUUUCAACUUUCUAUGCUGUUACUCUUUAUCUUUUAUUAGAUGAAAAGGCUUUUUCCUAAGAAUCUUUUCUUUCAGGAUAAAGAGUUAAGAUAUCGCUUUAUCUACAAUCAUUUUCCAAGUUUGCAAGGAGAGGUAAUAAAUUGAAACUUGUACCUUUUUCUCUUGGUGUAGGGGUGUUUUCCUUCUUGAAGUUUCUGUUGUUUCCACAGAAUUGUUUGCUUGAGUGAAGCUAGAAUACUGACAUUUUCCUCCAUUUCUUUUCCAGGACAUUUUGGGAAAGACUGAUAUGGAAAUUUUUACAGGAGCAGGAGUUAAGGAAUCACAAGAUUUCAAGAGAGAAGUUCUUGAAAAAGGAUUGCCUGCAAAGAGGGAAAUUACAUUUGAGACAGAAUUAUUUGGGUUGAAGACAUUUUUGAUUUACGUGGAACCUGUAUUUAGCAAGUCAGGGGAGACGAUUGGGAUAAAUUAUAUGGGAAUGGAUGUAACCGACCAGGUAAGGAAAAGAGAAAAGAUGGCAAAGCUUCGAGAAGAGAUUGCAGUACAGAAAGCAAAAGAAACAGAACUGAAUAAAACAAUCCAUAUAACAGAGGAGACAAUGCGUGCAAAACAAAUGCUAGCAACCAUGUCUCAUGAGAUAAGAUCUCCUCUUUCUGGGGUUGUAAGCAUGGCUGAGAUUCUUUCCACCACAAACCUUGACCGUGAGCAAAGACAACUACUCAAUGUCAUGAUAUCUUCAGGGGAUCUCGUCCUUCAACUUAUAAAUGACAUACUUGACCUUUCCAAGGUUGAGUCUGGUGUUAUGAAAUUGGAAGCCACAAAAUUCCAUCCAAGAGAGGUAGUAAAGCAUGUACUCCAAACAGCUGCUGCUUCACUGCAAAAGAUUCUGAUCUUGGAAGGACGCAUAUCUGAUGAUGUUCCUAUUGAGGUCAUUGGAGAUGUUCUAAGGAUUCGACAAAUCCUCACUAACUUGAUCAGCAAUGCAAUCAAGUUUACCCAUGAAGGGAAGGUAGGGAUAAACCUUUAUGUGGUACCAGAUCCAUGUUUUGGAAAAGCGGAAGGAAACCAUCAGAAGUCAUCUGUUGGUCGUUCAACCACAAAUGUAUCAAAAGAGGAUAAAUGCACAUUGGCAUCUCAAACUAACAAUGAUCAAAAUGGUUCCCACACUCCUCGUCAAAAUCAUUCGCUUGAUGAUGAACCUAGAACUCCGGUUAGAAAUGAAAACACGAUGGAAGGAGAUAAACAGGAGGAUCAAUUACCAGAAACAGUUGUGUGGCUAUGCUGUGAUGUUUAUGACACUGGAAUUGGAAUACCAGAAAAUGCCUUACCUACUCUAUUUAAAAAAUACAUGCAAGUCAGUGCAGACCAUGCUCGAAAAUAUGGAGGGACAGGCCUGGGACUUGCAAUAUGCAAACAGCUGGUUGAGCUGAUGGGUGGCCGUCUAACUGUGUCUAGCAGAGUGAACUGUGGGUCUACUUUCACAUUUGUUUUACCAUACAAGGUAUCACCAAUGUGUGAUUCUUCUGAUGAUGCUGAUGAGCUAUCAGGUAUUACUGAUCAUGAUGCUGCAUUAGAGGAUGAAACUGAUGGAUACUUUUUGUUCCAACCACGUACUUUGGGCUCUCUAUUCUCUUCCAAUGGAUCCACCAGGACUCAAAAAUUACUACCACACAAUAUGGGCUAUGUUAAGAACGGAUUCUCAGACAAUCCUUACUCAUUUCCCUCUCAUAAUGUUAGAUCAAAAGAGACAGCCUCUGUUGAGGAUGCCUGUUCUACAGUUGAAGUUGCUGCGCCAUUGUCUGAACCUGAAAGUUCUUGUAGUCACAGUCCGGAACCUGCUAAUGAGAAUGUAGUUUGUAGAAACAAGCACUUUCAAGAUGACACAAAUAAUCAAUGGCAAACUUCUCAUGCAGAAUGUAGCAGAGAAGCCGAUGCAAGGCCAAAGACAAGUGAACCCAAAGGAUCAAGUCAGGCACAGGAGAAAUCUGAAAUAAGUUCUCAGUGCACAACUGGAAACAGUCCACAAGUGCAAACAUCAAAAUUACAGCCUAAGAUCCUUCUUGUAGAAGACAAUAAGAUUAAUGUAAUGGUGACUCGAUCAAUGAUGAAGCAAUUAGGCCAUAGCAUGGAUGUUGUUAACAAUGGAGUUGAAGCUGUGCGUGCAGUUCAAUGCAAUUGCUAUGAUCUCAUUUUGAUGGAUGUCUGCAUGCCAGUUAUGGAUGGCCUUCAAGCCACUAGACUGAUUCGUUCUUUUGAAGCAACUGGCAGUUGGGAUGCAGCAAUUAAGGCUGGAAUUGAAUUGUGUUUACCUUCCUCAAAUUCAUUACAAGAUACACAAGGUUCCAUGCCUUCUACCAAGCGGACCCCUAUAAUUGCAAUGACUGCAAAUGCAUUGUCAGAGAGUGCAGAGGAAUGUUAUGCAAAUGGUAUGGAUUCAUUUAUCUCAAAGCCUGUCACCUUUCAAAAGAUAAAAGAGUGUUUUGAACAAUAUUUUCCAUGAUAUCUUCUGUAAAUUUAUGUUUGUAUAUAUGAAUGACAAAGCGCUAGGAACGUUUUGUAAUCACUGUAUCAAGUUCUUUGUAGCCAUUAGCAUCUCAAUAGAAAUCAAGUUGUAUAAAUCCAGUUUAACCCUUUUUUUGUCUUUUUGGUCCAACAAAAUUUUCCCAUGCUAAUGAAGGUUUAGAAGGUAAUUGGAU
Molecule: unclassified non-coding RNA, 4082 nt
Filed under: Hevea brasiliensis (rubber tree)
Lineage: Eukaryota; Viridiplantae; Streptophyta; Magnoliopsida; Malpighiales; Euphorbiaceae
Source: RNAcentral